GGUUCCGGUUGCCUAAGUGGUCAGAGCAUUCGCCUAGUAUGCGAUAGGUCGCAGGUUCAAAACCUAGCCGAGUCA
This is a non-coding RNA of Potamilus streckersoni, 75 nucleotides long. The record is from the annotation of a GenBank genome assembly. NCBI's taxonomy places the organism in Eukaryota, Metazoa, Mollusca, Bivalvia, Unionida, Unionidae.